AAAUUGAAGAGUUUGAUCAUGGCUCAGAUUGAACGCUGGCGGCAGGCCUAACACAUGCAAGUCGAGCGGUAGCACAGAGAGCUUGCUCUCGGGUGACGAGCGGCGGACGGGUGAGUAAUGUCUGGGAAACUGCCUGAUGGAGGGGGAUAACUACUGGAAACGGUAGCUAAUACCGCAUAACGUCGCAAGACCAAAGUGGGGGACCUUCGGGCCUCAUGCCAUCAGAUGUGCCCAGAUGGGAUUAGCUAGUAGGUGGGGUAACGGCUCACCUAGGCGACGAUCCCUAGCUGGUCUGAGAGGAUGACCAGCCACACUGGAACUGAGACACGGUCCAGACUCCUACGGGAGGCAGCAGUGGGGAAUAUUGCACAAUGGGCGCAAGCCUGAUGCAGCCAUGCCGCGUGUGUGAAGAAGGCCUUCGGGUUGUAAAGCACUUUCAGCGGGGAGGAAGGCGGUGAGGUUAAUAACCUCAUCGAUUGACGUUACCCGCAGAAGAAGCACCGGCUAACUCCGUGCCAGCAGCCGCGGUAAUACGGAGGGUGCAAGCGUUAAUCGGAAUUACUGGGCGUAAAGCGCACGCAGGCGGUCUGUCAAGUCGGAUGUGAAAUCCCCGGGCUUAACCUGGGAACUGCAUUCGAAACUGGCAGGCUAGAGUCUUGUAGAGGGGGUAGAAUUCCAGGUGUAGCGGUGAAAUGCGUAGAGAUCUGGAGGAAUACCGGUGGCGAAGGCGGCCCCCUGGACAAAGACUGACGCUCAGGUGCGAAAGCGUGGGGAGCAAACAGGAUUAGAUACCCUGGUAGUCCACGCCGUAAACGAUGUCGAUUUGGAGGUUGUGCCCUUGAGGCGUGGCUUCCGGAGCUAACGCGUUAAAUCGACCGCCUGGGGAGUACGGCCGCAAGGUUAAAACUCAAAUGAAUUGACGGGGGCCCGCACAAGCGGUGGAGCAUGUGGUUUAAUUCGAUGCAACGCGAAGAACCUUACCUGGUCUUGACAUCCACAGAACUUUCCAGAGAUGGAUUGGUGCCUUCGGGAACUGUGAGACAGGUGCUGCAUGGCUGUCGUCAGCUCGUGUUGUGAAAUGUUGGGUUAAGUCCCGCAACGAGCGCAACCCUUAUCCUUUGUUGCCAGCGGUCCGGCCGGGAACUCAAAGGAGACUGCCAGUGAUAAACUGGAGGAAGGUGGGGAUGACGUCAAGUCAUCAUGGCCCUUACGACCAGGGCUACACACGUGCUACAAUGGCAUAUACAAAGAGAAGCGACCUCGCGAGAGCAAGCGGACCUCAUAAAGUAUGUCGUAGUCCGGAUUGGAGUCUGCAACUCGACUCCAUGAAGUCGGAAUCGCUAGUAAUCGUAGAUCAGAAUGCUACGGUGAAUACGUUCCCGGGCCUUGUACACACCGCCCGUCACACCAUGGGAGUGGGUUGCAAAAGAAGUAGGUAGCUUAACCUUCGGGAGGGCGCUUACCACUUUGUGAUUCAUGACUGGGGUGAAGUCGUAACAAGGUAACCGUAGGGGAACCUGCGGUUGGAUCACCUCCUUA
Molecule: ribosomal RNA, 1539 nt
Filed under: Klebsiella pneumoniae
Lineage: Bacteria; Pseudomonadati; Pseudomonadota; Gammaproteobacteria; Enterobacterales; Enterobacteriaceae
Description: bacterial SSU rRNA
Rfam family: Bacterial small subunit ribosomal RNA
Source: RNAcentral